AACGAACGCUGGCGGCAUGCCUAACACAUGCAAGUCGAACGAAGUCUUCGGACUUAGUGGCGCACGGGUGCGUAACGCGUGGGAAUCUGCCCUUGGGUGCGGAAUAACUUCUCGAAAGGGAUGCUAAUACCGCAUAAUGUCGUAAGACCAAAGAUUUAUCGCCCAAGGAUGAGCCCGCGCAAGAUUAGCUAGUUGGUGGGGUAAAAGCCUACCAAGGCGACGAUCUUUAGCUGGUCUGAGAGGAUGAUCAGCCACACUGGGACUGAGACACGGCCCAGACUCCUACGGGAGGCAGCAGUGGGGAAUAUUGGACAAUGGGCGAAAGCCUGAUCCAGCAAUGCCGCGUGAGUGAUGAAGGCCUUCGGAUCGUAAAGCUCUGUGGGGGGAGAAGAAGAAGCCGGUGAAGAGCCGGCCCUGACGGUAUCCCCUUAGCAAGCACCGGCUAACUCCGUGCCAGCAGCCGCGGUAAU
Molecule: ribosomal RNA, 470 nt
Filed under: uncultured bacterium
Lineage: Bacteria
Description: bacterial SSU rRNA
Rfam family: Bacterial small subunit ribosomal RNA
Source: RNAcentral